ACUUGCUUCAGUAACACGUGGACAACUUACCCUUAAGUCUGGGAUAACCCCGGGAAACUGGGGAUAAUACCGGAUAUAUCAUCUUUGCUGGAAUGCUUGUUGGUUGAAAUGUCCGGACGUCUUGGGUGGGACUGGGGGUGAAUAAGGUGUUGGCGGUGUAACGUGCCGACCAGGCCGGAAUCCUGACGGGUUGGGGAGAGCAGAGCCCCGAAAAGGAUUCUGAAAAACGAAUCCCAGGCCUACGGGGCGCAGCAGGCGCGAAAACUCUACAAUGGCACGAACUGCGACGGGGAACAUCGAGUGAUCCUCAUUUGGGGGGUGUUUCCUGUCUAAAAAACGUUUGGUAAUAAGAGCUGGGCAAGACCGGUGCCAGCCGCCGCGGUAAUACCGGCGGCUCGAGUGGUGGCCGUUAUUAUUGAGCCUAAAGGGUCCGUAGCCGGCUUGGUAAGUCUCUGGUGAAAUCUCGCGGCUUAACCGUGGGAAGUGCUGGAGAUACUAUAAUGCUUGAGACUGGGAGAGGUAAGAGGUACUCCCAGGGUAGGAGUGAAAUCCUGUAAUCCUGUGAGGACCACCUGUGGCGAAGGCGUCCUACCUGAAACAGAACCUGACGGUGAGGGACGAAAGCUCAGGGGCGCGAAACCGGAUUAGAUACCCGGGUAGUCCUAGCCGUAAACGAUGCUCGACUAUGUGUCUGAACUGUCUUCGAUCUGUUGUCGAGUGCCGUAAGGGAAGCUGUGUAAGCUGUACGCAGCUCUGGGAAGUACGAGUCGCAAGAUCUGAAACUUAAAAGGAAUUGGCGGGGGGAAGCA
RNAcentral lists this ribosomal RNA (809 nucleotides) under uncultured archaeon. Its description in RNAcentral is "bacterial SSU rRNA". It matches the Rfam family "Archaeal small subunit ribosomal RNA", at positions 83 to 880 of the family's 1478-position model. The record is from RNAcentral.